CCUACGGGAGGCAGCAGUGGGGAAUCUUGCACAAUGGAGGAAACUCUGAUGCAGCGAUGCCGCGUGAGUGAAGAAGGCCUUUGGGUUGUAAAGCUCUUUUGUAGGGGAAGAUAAUGACUGUACCCUAAGAAUAAGGUCCGGCUAACUUCGUGCCAGCAGCCGCGGUAAUACGAAGGGACCUAGCGUAGUUCGGAAUUACUGGGCGUAAAGCGCGCGUAGGCCGUUGAGUUAGUUAAUUGUGAAAUCCCAAAGCUUAACUUUGGAACUGCAAUUAAAACUGCUCGACUAGAGUUUGAUAGAGGAAAGCGGAAUACAUAGUGUAGAGGUGAAAUUCGUAGAUAUUAUGUAGAACACCAGUUGCGAAGGCGGCUUUCUGGAUCAACACUGACGCUGAGGCGCGAAAGUAUGGGUAGCAAAGAGGAUUAGAUACCCUCGUAGUCCAUACCAUAAACGAUGAUUGCUAGAUGUUGGAAAUUUAUUUUCAGUAUCGCAGCUAACGCAUUAAGCAAUCCGCCUGGGGAGUACGACCGCAAGGUUAAAACUCAAAAGGAAUUGACGG
This 559-nucleotide ribosomal RNA is filed under the name uncultured bacterium. RNAcentral describes it as "bacterial SSU rRNA". It matches the Rfam family "Bacterial small subunit ribosomal RNA", at positions 338 to 916 of the family's 1533-position model. The record is from RNAcentral.